GACGAACGCUGGCGGCGUGCUUAACACAUGCAAGUCGAACGGAAAGGCCCUGCUUUUGUGGGGUGCUCGAGUGGCGAACGGGUGAGUAACAUGUGAGUAACCUGCCCUUGACUUUGGGAUAACUUCAGGAAACUGGGGCUAAUACCGGAUAGGAGCUCCUGCUGCAUGGUGGGGGUUGGACAGUUUAGGCGGUUGGGGAUGGACUCGCGGCUGAUCAGCUUGUUGGUGGGGUUGUGGCUUACCAAGGCUUUGACGGGUAGCCGGCCUGAGAGGGUGACCGGCCACAUUGGGACUGAGAUACGGCCCAGACUCCUACGGGAGGCAGCAGUGGGGAAUAUUGCACAAUGGGCGGAAGCCUGAUGCAGCAACGCCGCGUGCGGGAUGACGGCCUUCGGGUUGUAAACCGCUUUCGCCUGGGACGAAGCGUGAGUGACGGUAAUGGGUAAAGAAGCACCGGCUAACUACGUG
Molecule: ribosomal RNA, 468 nt
Filed under: uncultured bacterium
Lineage: Bacteria
Description: partial 16S ribosomal RNA
Rfam family: Bacterial small subunit ribosomal RNA
Source: RNAcentral